Molecule: ribosomal RNA, 480 nt
Filed under: uncultured bacterium
Lineage: Bacteria
Description: bacterial SSU rRNA
Rfam family: Bacterial small subunit ribosomal RNA
Source: RNAcentral
GACGAACGCUGGCGGCGUGCCUAACACAUGCAAGUCGAGCGGAGUCGAUCGACGGAAGCCUUCGGGCGGAAGAUGGUUGACUUAGCGGCGGAUGGGUGAGUAACGCGUGGGCAACCUGCCUCGAAGACCGGGAUAACAGCCCGAAAGGGCUGCUAAUACCGGAUGUGGUCAAGGAUCCGCAUGGAUUUUUGAUUAAAGGGGAAACCCGUUUCGAGAUGGGCCCGCGUCCUAUCAGCUAGUUGGUGAGGUAAAAGCUCACCAAGGCGACGACGGGUAGCCGGCCUGAGAGGGCGACCGGCCACACUGGAACUGAGACACGGUCCAGACUCCUACGGGGGCAGCAGUGGGGAAUCUUCCACAAUGGGCGAAAGCCUGAUGGAGCGACGCCGCGUGAGCGAAGAAGGCCUCGGUUGUAAAGCUCUGUCUGGAGGGACGAAGGAAGUGACGGUACCUCCGGAGGAAGCCACGGCUAACUACGUG